AAAAAAAAAAAAACGUGGAUAACAUACCUAUAAGACUUAGAUAACUUCGGGAAACCGAAGCUAAUACCGGCUACUAUAUUUAACCGCAUGGUUCAAUAGUGAAAGCCUGUUUUGCUGUCACUUCUAGAUGUAUCCGCGCCUAAUUAGCUAUUUGGUAAGGUAACGGCGUACAAACGCAAAGAUGCGUAGCCGACUGGAUAGGGUGAGCGGCAACAAUGCAAAUGAGAAACGGCACAUACUCAUACGGUAGGCAGCAGUAGGGAAUCUUCCGCAAUGGGCGAAAGUCUGACGGAGCAACGCCGAGUGAGUGAUGAAGGUCUUUUGUUUUUUUAAUGCUG
This 338-nucleotide ribosomal RNA is filed under the name uncultured bacterium. RNAcentral describes it as "partial 16S ribosomal RNA". It matches the Rfam family "Bacterial small subunit ribosomal RNA", at positions 100 to 435 of the family's 1533-position model. The record is from RNAcentral.